CGGCGAGUAGCCUCAGGUGAACGAGUGAAACGUGGUCAAGGAACUCGGCAUAAUGAUCCCGUAACUUCGGAAGAAGGGAUGCCUUGUUUGGUAACCGGACUUGCUCCGGGAGCAGAAUGAGGCCGCAGAGAAUCGGCCCAAGCGACUGUUUAGCAAAAACACAGGUGCGUGCCAAGCCGCAUAAGGCGCCGUAUACGCACUGACGCCUGCCCGGUGCCGGAAGGUUAAGGGGAGAGGUUAGCCGCAAGGCGAAGCUUUGAGCCGAAGCCCCGGUAAACGGCGGCCGUAACGAUAACGGUCCUAAGGUAGCGAAAUUCCUUGUCGGGUAAGUUCCGACCUGCACGAAUGGCGUAACGACUUGGGCACUGUCUCGACCACGUGCUCGGCGAAAUUGCAGUCUCGGUGAGGAUUCCGAGUCCCCGCAGCAGGACAAAAAGACCCCAUGCACCUUUACUGCAGCUUGUCAUUGGACAUUGCACUUCACUGUGUAGCAUAGGUGGGAGCCGGUGAACCCUGGGCGCUAGCCUGGGGGGAGGCAUCAGUGAAAUACCACCCUGUGUAGUGCGAUGCCCUCACCACGGAAGGCAAACCCUUUCUGGGACCGUGGCAGGCGGGCAGUUUGACUGGGGCGGUCGCCUCCGAAAAGUAACGGAGGCGCGCGCAAGGUUGGCUCAGCGCGGUCGGUACUCGCGCUUCUAGAGUGUAACGGCAAAAGCCAGCCUGACGGAGAGACCGACGGGUCGACCCGCCACGAAAGUGGGCCGUAGUGAUCCGGUAGCCCGGGGUGGAGCGGCUAUCGCGCAACGGAUAAAAGGUACGCUGGGGAUAACAGGCUUAUCGCGCCCGAGAGUUCACAUCGACGGCGCGGUUUGGCACCUCGAUGUCGGCUUAUCACAUCCUGGGGCUGGAGAAGGUCCCAAGGGUCCGGCUGUUCGCCGGUUAAAGGGGUACAUGAGCUGGGUUCAGAACGUCGUGAGACAGUUCGGUCUGUAUCCGCUGUGGGCGUUGGAGUGUUGAGGGGAGCGGACUCUAGUACGAGAGGACCGAGUCGGACGAUCCGCUCGUGUCCCGGCUGUCCUGCCAAGGGCACCGCCGGGUAGCGAUGAUCGGCUGUGAUAACCGCUGAAUGCAUCUAAGUGGGAAGCACGCCCCAAGAUGAACACUCCCGAGGCUUCGAGCCUCCUGAAGGGCCGGGGAAGACCACCCCGUCGAUAGGCCGCCCGUGGACGUCGAGCGAUCGACUCCGAGCGCAGCGGUCCUAAUCGCCCGUGCGGCUUGACUAC
Molecule: ribosomal RNA, 1283 nt
Filed under: metagenome
Description: bacterial LSU rRNA
Rfam family: Bacterial large subunit ribosomal RNA
Source: RNAcentral